RNAcentral lists this ribosomal RNA (522 nucleotides) under Phomopsis sp. MNA27. RNAcentral's name for it is "eukaryotic LSU rRNA". The stretch from base 158 to 311 matches the Rfam family "5.8S ribosomal RNA". The record is from RNAcentral. Lineage: Eukaryota; Fungi; Ascomycota; Sordariomycetes; Diaporthales; Diaporthaceae.
GCGCACCCAGAAACCCUUUGUGAACUUAUACCUUACUGUUGCCUCGGCGCAUGCUGGCCCCCUCGGGGUCCCUUGGAGACAAGGAGCAGGCACGCCGGCGGCCAAGUUAACUCUUGUUUUUACACUGAAACUCUGAGAAAAAACACAAAUGAAUCAAAACUUUCAACAACGGAUCUCUUGGUUCUGGCAUCGAUGAAGAACGCAGCGAAAUGCGAUAAGUAAUGUGAAUUGCAGAAUUCAGUGAAUCAUCGAAUCUUUGAACGCACAUUGCGCCCUCUGGUAUUCCGGAGGGCAUGCCUGUUCGAGCGUCAUUUCAACCCUCAAGCAUUGCUUGGUGUUGGGGCACUGCCUGUAAAAGGGCAGGCCCUGAAAUCUAGUGGCGAGCUCGCCAGGACCCCGAGCGCAGUAGUUAAACCCUCGCUUUGGAAGGCCCUGGCGGUGCCCUGCCGUUAAACCCCCAACUUUUGAAAAUUUGACCUCGGAUCAGGUAGGAAUACCCGCUGAACUUAAGCAUAUCAAUAA